Jaculus jaculus (lesser Egyptian jerboa) is the source of this 92-nucleotide small nucleolar RNA. Ensembl annotates it as small nucleolar RNA, C/D box 12. NCBI's taxonomy places the organism in Eukaryota, Metazoa, Chordata, Mammalia, Rodentia, Dipodidae. The record is from Ensembl.
GCUAGUGCAUCUGAUGACUUAGCUUUUUUCCCCAUCAGAUCGACCCUGUUGAUCUAAUUAAACUAAUAGCCAGUUUUGUCUGAUGCAUUGGC